AAGACACUAGUAAAAAAGAAAUAACACUGCUUUGUCAGGGCAGAGUCGCGGGUUAAACUCCCGCGUGUCUUG
This 72-nucleotide transfer RNA is filed under the name Gerres erythrourus. RNAcentral describes it as "tRNA-Asp". It matches the Rfam family "tRNA". Rfam says of the family: Transfer RNA (tRNA) molecules are approximately 80 nucleotides in length. Their secondary structure includes four short double-helical elements and three loops (D, anti-codon, and T loops). The record is from RNAcentral. Lineage: Eukaryota; Metazoa; Chordata; Actinopteri; Gerreiformes; Gerreidae. RNAcentral also lists the same sequence under 1 other name.